CGGUCCAUUAAACCCUAACGUCUUUCUGUUGCUCCCAAUUCCGCUUAGAAAACCUAAUAUCCCAAACAAGCUAAAUCAGCGCGCUUCAGAUUAGGGUUUCAGUUGCCUCGUUCAUGGACUCAGACGUCGACGUUUCCCGGUGGGUCCUCGAGCUCCUUAUCCGAGACCGCGAGAAGGAGUGCAUUGCCAAGAGAGUCCUCGCAGUUGCGCCAUUCUCGGACCAAGACUAUCGCUUGAAGAAGACCGUGCUCCUCCGAACCAUCGAGUGCGAUGUCUACGACGCUUUGGUCACUGAAACGAUGCUAGAAACGCUUGAAAUGAUCGAGGAUUUGGAUAUUAGCCAAGGCAUUGCGACCACGGACUCCAUGAAAGCCGCGUACUUGGCCGUCGCCACUGAGUGUACGGUCAAGUUCUUGGUGGGCCUCAUGGGAAAGCCGAGCGGGAAGUACUUGGAGGCUGUUGAUCGGAUUUGGAGAGGAAGGGUUGGGGCUUUGGAGCGGUCAGAGACGAGCCAGCUGAUAUCUGCCGAGUUGAGGCAGAGAAUGGACGAGGUCGAGGCGGGGGUUUGGGAUUUGAGAGUGUCGAAGAAGUUGUCAAGGAUGAACACGAGGAACGAUGCGCUGAGAUUGGUUGCGGUAUAUGUGAAGGAAGCAUUGGCGUUAAUGGGACCUCCGUUUAUUACUUGGGCUGUAAGAUUGAAUGUGCCCAAGGAAGUUGCCGACUUGGAGGGUGAUCAGAUUGCAGUGGCGAAAGAGGCUAAUGUGGGUGGUGGGCCUGAAGCGGAGGCGCAAACAAAGAAUGGGGCUAAUGUGGGUGAUAGGUCUGAAUUGGAGGCACAAACGGAGAAUGGGGCUAAUGCCGGUGAUGGGUCUGAACUGGAGGCUCAAAUGGCGAAUGCGGCUGAUGUUGGGGGUGAGUCUGAAUUGGAGGCUCAAAUGGAGACUGGGGCUAAUGUUGGCGGUGAGUCUGAAUUGGAAGCUCAAAUGGAGAAUGGGGGUAAUGUGCAAAUGGCUAGUGGAACUAAUGCGGUUGAUGGGUCUGAAUUGGAGAAGGAAGUGGUUAAUGAGACUAAUGCAGGGGAUGGGUCUCAGUUGGAGGUGCAAACUACAAAUGGGACUAAUGCGGCUGGUGAAUCUGUACUGGAGGCACAACUAGUGAAUGGGACUAAUUUGGGUGAUGGGUGUGAAUUGCAGGCGCAAAGGGUGAAUGAGGCUAAUGGGAGUUGUGGGUUUGAAUCGGGUCCACAACCGAUGACUGGGGUCCAAUUGCGGGAAGUCGGGGCAAGGCGCAUGCCACCUACUAUGAGCCGGGAUUUAGUUUUGAAUGAAAGGGAUUCUGGAUUCACGAACAGAGAAGUGCUCAGGUUCGGUGAUGAUCAGGUUCAUGAGAUAGGCGUGGGUUUGCCUAGUACGAAUAGGGAACUGGUUCUCAGUUUAGAUCCAACCACGAAAGAUAAAGAAAUUCAGAGGAGUGCGGGACUUAGAUACAAGCACCUUGCUCAUAGGCGCACUAGAGGACCGGUUAGGAUUCGGGACGCUGAAGAUUUGGGCACAGACUUAUCAAAUAGUAAAUAUGAUUCCCUGUCUACCCCUGAGGUUAGCAAUGCACAAGAAGCACUUAGAUCCAGUAUUUUGGAGCUACAAGCAGUAGUGACAGAUCCACUUCCAGAUGCUUUACGAGUGGCUGAAACCAUAAGAUUGGAUUUGGCAAUGAAAUCUGUGAAUGCAGGGGCAGAAAAUCUCUCUGUUGAGAAGGGUGCUGGACCCGUUCAAUCUCAUAACGAUAAUCUUGGAAAUAUGUCUGUUCCCCAAUCUAGUGGAAAAGAAAAGGAUGUACCAACUCCUCCUGUCAACCAGGGAAAAGGAACUGAGUCUGUUCAAGCAGAUGAUGCCAAUGUUGGAAAUCCGUCUUCCAGCAAUAAGAAUAAUGCUCCUCGACCAAUGACAGAUCCACUUCUGGAUGCUUUACAAGUGGCUGAAACCAUAAGAUUGGAUUUGGCAAUGAAAUCUGUGAAUGUAGGGGCAGAAAAUCUCUCUGUCGAGAUAGGUGCUGGACCUGUUCAAUCUCAUAACGAUAAUCUUGGAAAGGUGUCCUUUCCCCAAUCUAGUGGAAAAGAAAAGGAUGUACCAAAUCCUCCAGUCAACCAGGGAAAAGGAACUGAGUCUGUUCAAACUGAUGAUGUCAAUCUUGGAAAUCCGUCUUCCAGCAAUAAGAAUAAUGCUCCUCGACCUAGCUUGAUGGAACGUAAUAUUACUGCUCAUACUUACGAGUGGGAUGACUCAAUAGAUACUUCACAAGGAGCAAUGAAAGAUCCAGGCAGGCUUCACUUACCUAGCCCAAAGAGGAAUGCUGUUUCUCCAUUGAAGAAGUAUGAGAAUAAGAGAUUUACUAAGAGAAGAAAAGCUAAGAGAUGGAGCUUAUUGGAAGAAGACACCUUAAGGACUGGUGUACAGAAGUAUGGCGCGGGAAACUGGAAAUUUAUCUUGAAUAGCUACCGCGAGAUAUUUGAAGAGAGAACUGAGGUUGAUUUGAAGGACAAGUGGAGAAAUAUGACACGGUAGAGGCACAUGUGAAUAGUUUGCUACUCACGUGUAUUUUGGUCAUCUGGUACCUCAUUAGAGCUAUGAACUUUAUAAGUCGAUGUACUUCUUGCCGAUGCUGGUCCAAGCCAUUCUAUGAGGUUUGGUUCCCACAGCCACUGGUGGUAUUCCUGAGGUAAUAGUAGGUUGAGUUCUGGCUGCCCUGUGGUUCAUUUAGAACUUGCUUUGUGAGAGGAGGCUUAGCAUCUAGUUCACAUCUUUUUUAUUGGCGAUGUCGAUGUGGUGAGAUGGGCAUAACACCUCUAAAGAGAAAAAUGCAUUAGAACUCAAUGAAAUCGUAAUCAGGCUGACAUGGUCGAUUUUUCUGCCCAGAAUAUACCAGUCUUUUUCCAUCAGAAAAGUCAGAAGGAAAGAACAAGGAAAAUAAGUAACUUAAGGGGUAGAGCCAGCUCAGCUUAUUUGCCAAAUCCAUAGAACAAAGCAGUCAAAGAAGUUCAGAAAAGUUGACAAUACUGUUCUGCAAUUGGAGCCUUGCAUUGUUGAAGCCAGGAAUCUGGAAUUUUCUUUGGAACUGGAGACGUAUGUAAUUAGCGAAAUGCCAACAAAACCAAGCUUGAAUGUGUAUAAUUCACAAUGGGCUCGGGACAAGUGGAGGUUGAAAGAGUACUUCAGUAGCAAUAAUGAUUAGCUGCAUA
Prunus mume (Japanese apricot) is the source of this 3235-nucleotide non-coding RNA. The record is from RefSeq and is a predicted model, not a curated record. NCBI's taxonomy places the organism in Eukaryota, Viridiplantae, Streptophyta, Magnoliopsida, Rosales, Rosaceae.